AGUAGCGCGUGGGUAACCUGCCUCAUACAGGGGGAUAACAGUUAGAAAUGACUGCUAAUACCGCAUAAGCGCACAAAACCGCAUGGUUUGGUGUGAAAAACUGAGGUGGUAUGAGAUGGACCCGCGUCUGAUUAGCUAGUUGGAGAGGUAACGGCUCACCAAGGCAACGAUCAGUAGCCGACCUGAGAGGGUGACCGGCCACAUUGGGACUGAGACACGGCCCAAACUCCUACGGGAGGCAGCAG
This 245-nucleotide ribosomal RNA is filed under the name uncultured bacterium. RNAcentral's name for it is "partial 16S ribosomal RNA". It matches the Rfam family "Bacterial small subunit ribosomal RNA", at positions 109 to 354 of the family's 1533-position model. The record is from RNAcentral.